RNAcentral lists this unclassified non-coding RNA (205 nucleotides) under Hevea brasiliensis (rubber tree). The record is from RNAcentral. Lineage: Eukaryota; Viridiplantae; Streptophyta; Magnoliopsida; Malpighiales; Euphorbiaceae.
AACCCCCAAGAUACAAUAUAAACAAAGAGACAGAUCAAGUGGAAGAGAAGAGGAUUAGAGAGGAAGCCACAUAGCAAAAGCAAGCCCAGAGAGAAGAAUCAGGAGGAAAUUGAAAAGGAUUGGAGAGGGAAGAAAAGGGUAGGAGAGGAGUGAUGAAGAGAAAGAGAAAGAGGAAAGAGGGAAAGGAAGGCAGAAGAGGAAGGAU